This 209-nucleotide long non-coding RNA is filed under the name Elaeis guineensis (African oil palm). RNAcentral describes it as "long non-coding RNA (EGUI_LNC037333)". The record is from RNAcentral. Lineage: Eukaryota; Viridiplantae; Streptophyta; Magnoliopsida; Arecales; Arecaceae.
GUUAGUGAGGAAAGGAAAACUCAAAGCAAGAUGUCUUGUUUUAUCCAAAUUGACAACUCACUGGAGCAAAUCCGCGUGCCGGUGAAAGCCCAAAGAUCUGAAAAAGGAAGGAGAAGGUGGAGGUGAUUAUUAGGUGCAACGAAGUUGAAGGCAGGAUUCCGGCAAUUUAUUUUCACUGAAAUCAAAGGAGAAACUUGAAGAAAAAUCUU